AAUCUAACAAUUAUGAGAAUGCCACUUGGAUUACUUAAAAUGUGUACUCUCCUACAAGGUGCUACUAACUCAGUUGCACAUAUGAUGAAUGGGAUGAAUAAGGUAUUAAGAGACUUCAUUCCUGAAAAAACUAUGUCUUUUUAAGAUGAUGUUUCUAUUAAAGGAUGUGAAGAAGGAGAAAAAGAUGAAACUUUAGAUGAGAGAGGGUGUUGCAAAUAUGUUGUUGAUCAUAUACAAGAUUAUGAAAAGAUUUUAAUUCGA
This 261-nucleotide long non-coding RNA is filed under the name Physcomitrium patens. RNAcentral's name for it is "long non-coding RNA (PPAT_LNC009772)". The record is from RNAcentral. Lineage: Eukaryota; Viridiplantae; Streptophyta; Bryopsida; Funariales; Funariaceae.